UACAGAGGUCCCAAGCAUUAUCCGGAAUCAUUGGGCGUAAGGGGUGUCAAGGCGGUUAUGUUAGUCGUUCGUAAAAUCCGUAGGCUCAACCUACGGCCCGCGAGCGAAACGGCAUGACUAGAGGUCGGGAGAGGUGCGUGGAACUCACGGUGUAGGGGUGAAAUCCGUUGAUAUCGUGGGGAACACCAAAGGCGAAGGCAGCGCACUGGCCCGAAUCUGACGCUCACACACGAAAGCCAGGGUAGCGAACGGG
RNAcentral lists this ribosomal RNA (253 nucleotides) under uncultured bacterium. Its description in RNAcentral is "partial 16S ribosomal RNA". It matches the Rfam family "Bacterial small subunit ribosomal RNA", at positions 524 to 776 of the family's 1533-position model. The record is from RNAcentral.